This 505-nucleotide ribosomal RNA is filed under the name uncultured bacterium. Its description in RNAcentral is "bacterial SSU rRNA". It matches the Rfam family "Bacterial small subunit ribosomal RNA", at positions 11 to 507 of the family's 1533-position model. The record is from RNAcentral.
UUUAGAUCAUGGCUCAAAUUGAACGCUGGCGGAAUGCUUCCCUUUUGAAAGUCAAACGGCAGCACGGAAAGCUUGCUCUCUGGUGGCGAGUGGCGAACGGGUGAGUAAUAUAUCGGACCUUGUCCAAUAAUGGGGGAUAACAAGUCAAAAGAUUCCCUAAUACCGCAUACCCCCUACGGGGGAAAGCAGGGAAUCGUAAAACCUUGCGUUAAUGGAGCGGCCAAUAUCUGAUUAGCUUGUUGGUGAGGUAAAGGCUCACCAAGGCGACAAUCAGUACCUGGUUUGAGAGAACGACCACCCACACUGAAACUGAGACACGGUCCAAACUCCUACGGGAGGCAGCAGUGGGGAAUUUUGGACAAUGGGGGCAACCCUGAUCCACCCUUUCCGCGUGAGUGAAGAAGGCCUUCGGGUUGUAAAGCUCUUUCGCAAGGAAAAAAAACUUAUGAUCGAAUAAAUCAUGAGGUUGACGGUACCUUGAUAAGAAGCACCGGCUAACUACGUG